UUACCAUGAUGAUUUUCUUCGUUAAACCCAGCUCACUCGGAGUAUUUACAUUGACGAGUACGCGAAGUUUUUAUUUAUCUGAACA
This 85-nucleotide small nucleolar RNA is filed under the name Schizosaccharomyces pombe (fission yeast). Its description in RNAcentral is "snr69 small nucleolar RNA". Lineage: Eukaryota; Fungi; Ascomycota; Schizosaccharomycetes; Schizosaccharomycetales; Schizosaccharomycetaceae. The record is from RNAcentral.